This 497-nucleotide ribosomal RNA is filed under the name uncultured bacterium. RNAcentral's name for it is "partial 16S ribosomal RNA". It matches the Rfam family "Bacterial small subunit ribosomal RNA", at positions 28 to 507 of the family's 1533-position model. The record is from RNAcentral.
GAUGAACGCUGGCGGCGUGCCUAAUACAUGCAAGUCGAGCGGACGGACGAGAAGCUUGCUUCUCUGAUGUUAGCGGCGGACGUGAGAGUAACACGUGGAUAACCUACCUAUAAGACUGGGAUAACUUCGGGAAACCGGAGCUAAUACCGGAUAAUAUUUUGACCCGCAUGGUUCAAAAGUGAAAGACGGUCUUGCUGUCACUUACAGAUGGAUCCGCGCUGCAUUAGCUAGUUGGUAAGGUAACGGCUUACCAAGGCAACGAUGCUUAGCCGACCUGAGAGGGUGAUCGGCCACCCUGGAACUGAGACACGGUCCAGACUCCUACGGGAGGCCGCAGUAGGGACUCUUACGCAAUGGGCGAAAGCCUGACGGAGCAACGCCGCGUGAGUCAUGAAGGUCUUCGGAUCGUAGAACUCUGUUAUUAUGCAAGAACAUAUGUGUAAGUAACUGUGCACAUCUUGACGGUACCUAAUCAGAAAGCCCCGGCUAACUACGUG